Neodiprion virginianus is the source of this 251-nucleotide long non-coding RNA. RefSeq lists it as uncharacterized. The record is from RefSeq and is a predicted model, not a curated record. The transcript is spliced from 2 exons. NCBI's taxonomy places the organism in Eukaryota, Metazoa, Arthropoda, Insecta, Hymenoptera, Diprionidae.
GCAUGCCUUGUUCGAUUUCCGCAGUUAAUAGUGAUUUUUGUGGGAUUAAAGACCGUGUUACCCGCUUACCUUACGCUGGGUAGGAAUGUUGGUGAGUUGCCUUGGCAAUCUAGGACUUUGCACCUCAUGGACACAUGUGGCUAGGAUAACCUCGGGGAAUUAACACACACUCCAAUUAAAUGAUGAUAUCAGUAUCGUCGAUAGACCAAAGAGAUCUACAGACCGUUGAAAAUGUUUUCGAAGAGAGCUGC